Molecule: transfer RNA, 77 nt
Filed under: Alphaproteobacteria bacterium
Lineage: Bacteria; Pseudomonadati; Pseudomonadota; Alphaproteobacteria
Description: tRNA-Val
Rfam family: tRNA
About the family: Transfer RNA (tRNA) molecules are approximately 80 nucleotides in length. Their secondary structure includes four short double-helical elements and three loops (D, anti-codon, and T loops).
Source: RNAcentral
GGAUGUGUAGCUCAGCUGGUUAGAGCGCUUCGUUCACAUCGAAGAGGUCGUUGGUUCGAGUCCAAUCUCAUCCACCA